GUGAACGCUGGCGGUAGGCCUAACACAUGCCAGUCGAACGGCAGCACAGUAAGAGCUUGCUCUUACGGGUGGCGAGUGGCGGACGGGUGAGGAAUACAUCGGAAUCUACUUUUUCGUGGGGGAUAACGUAGGGAAACUUACGCUAAUACCGCAUACGACCUACGGGUGAAAGCAGGGGAUCUUCGGACCUUGCGCGAUUGAAUGAGCCGAUGUUGGAUUAGCUAGUUGGCGGGGUAAAGGCCCACCAAGGCGACGAUCCGUAGCUGGUCUGAGAGGAUGAUCAGCCACACUGGAACUGAGACACGGUCCAGACUCCUACGGGAGGCAGCAGUGGGGAAUAUUGGACAAUGGGCGCAAGCCUGAUCCAGCCAUACCGCGUGGGUGAAGAAGGCCUUCGGGUUGUAAAGCCCUUUUGUUGGGAAAGAAAAGCAGCAGGUUAAUACCCCGCUGUUCUGACGGUACCCAAAGAAUAAGCACCGGCUAACUUCGUG
This 491-nucleotide ribosomal RNA is filed under the name uncultured bacterium. Its description in RNAcentral is "partial 16S ribosomal RNA". It matches the Rfam family "Bacterial small subunit ribosomal RNA", at positions 29 to 507 of the family's 1533-position model. The record is from RNAcentral.